Molecule: ribosomal RNA, 496 nt
Filed under: uncultured bacterium
Lineage: Bacteria
Description: partial 16S ribosomal RNA
Rfam family: Bacterial small subunit ribosomal RNA
Source: RNAcentral
GAUGAUCGCUGGCGGCGUGCCUCAUACAUGCAAGUCGAGCGAACAGACGAGGAGCUUGCUCUUAUGACAUUAGCGGCGGACGGGUGAGUAUAAUGUGGAUAACCUACCUAUAAAAAUGGGAUAACUUCGGGAAACCGGGGCUAAUACCGGCUAAUAUAUUGAACCGCAUGGUUCAAUAGUGAAAGACGAUCUUGAUGUCACUUAUAGAUGGAUCCGCGCCGCAUUAGCCAGUUGGUAAGGUAACGGCUUACCAAGGCAACGAUGCGUAGCCGACCUGAGAGGGUGCUCGGCCACACUGUAACUGAGACACGGUCCUUACACCUACUGGAGGCAGCAGUAGCGAAGCUACCGCAGAGGGCGAAAGCUUGUCUGUUCAGCGCCGCGGGAAUGAGGAUGGUUCUCUGGUCGUAAAACUCGGUAGUUGGGGAAGAACAAAUGUAGAAGUGACGUUGCACGGCUUGACGGUACCGAAUCAGAAGGCCACUGCUAACGGCAU